AAAAAAAAAAAAAAAAAGAAUCUAGUGCCUGAGAAGAAACAAAAACAAAGAUACAUACACAGUAGGCUUAACGACAAAAUAAAAAUCAUCAUUUUCUCAGUUAAGUAUCCUUCGUUUUACCAAUUCAGACACAUACUUUAAUCAGUGUUAUAUUCAUAUUCUUAGAUUUCUUUCUAAAAUUAUCAUUAAUUUGUUAAUAUGGAUGUUAAGCAGGAGCUGCAGAUGCAUGUGCUCACAAGAUGAUCUGAUAUAAAACUUCUAGAGCCAUAUACCAAAUCAAAUAGACCAUCGUCACACGAUUUUCAUUGUCAAAUCAUAUAAGCUUGAGGAGGCAUUGUUCGUCCUAAUUUGCUCUUUCUCAGCACGGCGUGGUCCCAAAUCUCCGAUUUAGUGUCUACAUUAAUAACAAUGAACAGAAAGCUAAUGAAAGAUAUGAUUAGAAAUGUAAUUAAAGCUUAUAAAACCUGUUGGGAAUCGAAGAAACAUUGGCCUUCUUAACCCAAUGUGGAGAUGGCCUGUCUGAUGGAUGUCUGUGCCUAUCCUGAAUUUUUAAAACAAGAAGUUGAGGUACAUAUAUAGUUACAAUGAUAUGAAAGUUCAAUUUAGAAUCAAACCAAUGUCACACAAUCCAUGAAAGAUCCAUCAGAAACUGAUGAA
RNAcentral lists this unclassified non-coding RNA (657 nucleotides) under Hevea brasiliensis (rubber tree). The record is from RNAcentral. Lineage: Eukaryota; Viridiplantae; Streptophyta; Magnoliopsida; Malpighiales; Euphorbiaceae.